GGGCACAGCGUGAGGGCCGCCGUUGCUGGAGUUCAGCUUAGGGAAGGAGGACUCUGAGGAGGCCCCGAGCGGCGGAGCGCUUCGGGGGAGGCGCCCGCGCAGACGCGAGGCCCAUAGCCAGGACCACCACCUAGCUGAUUCUUGAUGACAUUGGUCGGGAAAACUCGCCUUUCACGGCCCGGCCAAGGGGCAUUUGGGUGCUUUUGCUGCCCGUGGCUGUGCUCAGCGUUGUGGGAAGCCCCUGGGAGGCCGAAUGUGCAGGAUCACCGAGGGGAAAGUGAGCUUGACAGUCUGGGGACGACGGUUUAAAAAUUUAUGCCUUGCAUGCGAUGUGCAGUGGGUGAUGGAAGAACGUCUACAUGGCUUUAAAAUUGGAUUUAAAAGGCAAAUAUUUUAAAUGAAGGAAAACCCAAGAAGUUUACUUGAUUCCUUAUCUUCCAGGAUGCGACUUUUGUUUAUUUAUUUAUUUUAUUUUGAUGGAGUCUCGCUGCCGUCGCGCAGGCUGGAGUGCAGUGACGCGAUCUUGACCCGGGAACCUCCACCUCCCGGGUUCAAGCGAUUCUCCUUCCUCAACCACCCGAGUAGCUGGGAUUACAGGCGUGUGCCACCAUGCCCGGCUAAUUUUUGUGUUUUUAGUAGAGACCGGGGAAGGUAUGGGCCCUCUUUUGAGAAAAAUGCAGAGUGACACUGAAUUUUGUAACUACAUCAGGAGGCUCUUGAACCUUCUGCAGCUCACUCGUGGAGUUUGUAGAGAUGCGUAAUAAUCCGAAGUGUUAAGGAAGAAGGUUCUGUUGAGAAAAAGUUGGAGGGCUGAAAGGGAUGCCUUUCGCUAUUUCGACAUGUGUGGCUGUACCCCAGAGUGCCCUGGCUAACACGCAAAACCAUGAAUUAGGCGGCUUGGCGAGGCUCAGUGGAGGCUGGGGCCGAGAGUCAUGUCAAAGUUUGUGGGGUUAACCUGCACCCAGUGACAGUCAUGGCGAAGUUUGUGAGGUUAACUCGCACCCAGUAACGCUGUUCCAAUGCAAGGUGUGUAUUUGGUGUCAUCCACGGGAAGAGGAAACAGCAAAUUUUCUCAUGGCCUUGGCAGUUCCACAUGAUGGACAUUUCAUAUCUGCAGUUUUCUUCGCAUGAGAUGGCUUUUUUGCACAAAAACACUGGAAUCCAGUGAGCAAGAAUGAUAGAAUGCAAGAUGGAUUUCCACAUGAGGAAGUGUCACGAACAAGCGUUUUGCAUCUCUGUCAGCUGGAUUCCCCCAUGUGUACGUAUGUGAGAACAUGCCGUGUUUCCUGUCUGUAAUGGUAGAGGCAGCCCUGAUACUGGAUUUUCACCUGAGGAUGGAUAGAUCUUCAGGGUUCAAGUGGGUUUGCAUCUGGACUUUAGGGUGGCCCUGUAGGCCCUGUGUGAGAAGCCCCCUUCCCAGUGAACUUUCCCUUGUGUGCCCGCGUGGACAGCCAACAGGGGGAGCAGUGCGAGCGUGAAGGCAGACAGUGGCCUGGCCCAGUCUGAUGGUAAGUGGGCCAGAGGCAGUGAGUACCAUUUCUUGAUCUGACUACUCAAGACAGGCGCUUCCCUAGGUACUUUCACACCUCAUUGCGAGGUACGUGUUGUUCCCAUUUUACAGGUGCAGAAGCUGAGCUGCAGAGGCGUUAGGUACCUGCCUCAUAAGUGGUAGAGACUCCAGUGUCACCCUGCCCCUCACGUUCGGAGCCCCCGAGGGAGGGUCUGCCGGGCAGCUCAGCCCAGCACUCUGUAAGGAAAUCUUCAGUGCCACUGCCCAGGAUGUCUUCCCGGGGAUUGGGCCUGAAUGUCUUGACCAUGCCGUGCUGGAGGUAGGAGGGGUGUCUUCAUAUGGAAGAACUGUACAUAUUUCUUUGGCAGAUGGCUGAACUCUGUGACCCCGGGGCCUGUUUCAGCCUCCUGCUGUCAGAAAGCAGCUGUUUGGGAAGAGGCUGUGAUUCGGCCUUGUUUGAGGGCCGAUACUCUGAAUGGGUGAGGCUUGGAAUCCUCCCUUUGGAACAAAGAAACAUAAUGAUUUUGCUGAAGGUAGAAUUGGGGGACUAGGCAGAGUGGCCUCCUGCCCUCCCUGGGGUGGUUCUGUCUUUUGCAAAGGUGGCUGCAUCCUUAGGGGAAGGUGAGGGGAGAAGCAGGGAGCAUGGAGAGAAGUGGCUUUCGAUUUUCUCUCUCCUUUUGGGGAGUUCCUCCUUAUGUGGCUGGUCUGGUGCAUAGUGUGAUGUAUUCCUGUACGCAACGUUGCCCUGACAGCCAGUCCAAGCUGAGUCUAGAGCUGGCAAGGUGAGCUCCCAGUAGUAAGAGGGUGUGGGCGGCAAGCCACCCAGGCACCGAGGCAAGAGACAGAGGACACGAGCUGUUCCAGUAUAAUAAAAUAUAAAACAAGAAUAGUUAUACCAGAUAUAGAUCUUAGAUAUGAUUAUAUAUGAAUAUCAUUAAUCAUGAGUUUGCAGCAAUUACUUUUUAUUCCAAUAUUAUGAUAAUCCUCGCUCUAUAAUCAUAGCCUAGGAAAAACCAGGCCAUACAGAGGAGCUGAGGGGACAUAGUGAGGUGUGACCAGAAGACAAGAGUGCGAGGCUUCUGUUAUGCCCGGACAGGGCCACAAGAGGGCUCCUUGGUCUAGCGGUGACGCCAGCGUCUGGGAAGACGCCCGUUACCCGGCGGAUCGUGGCCCAGUGGUAGCAAAAGGUGUCAAGGAACAACACUCACUACUUAGCAGACCGGGAAAGGGGCGGGGGGGGGGUCUCCCUUUCCCCGGGGGAGUUUAGAAAAGACUCUGCUCCUCCACCUCUUGUGGAGGGCCUGACAUCAGUCAGGCUUGCCCGUAGUUAUCCGGAGGCCUAACUGUCUCCCUGUGAUGCUGUGCUUCAGUGGUCACACUCCUUGUCUGCCUUCAUGUUCCAUCCUGUACACCUGGCUCUGCCUUCUAGAUAGCAGUAGUAAAUUAGUGAAAAUACUAAUAGUCCCUGAUAUGCAGAAAUAAUGGUAUAAGCUGUCUUUCUCUCUGUCUCCUCUCCCUCUCUGCCUCGGCUGCCAGGCAGGGAAGGGCCCCCUGUCCAGUGGACACGUGACCCACGUGACCUUACCUAUCAUUGGAGGUGACUCACAUUCUUUACCCUGCCCCUUCUGUCUUGUAUCCGAUAAAUAACAGCGCAGUCAGACAUUCGGGGCCACUACCGGUCUCCGCGCAUUGGUGGUAGUGGUCCCCCGGGCCCAGCUGCCUUUUCUCUUAUCUCUCUGUCUUGUGUCUUUAUUUCUACACUCUCUCAUCGCCACACACAGGGAGAGACCCACCGACCCUGUGGGGCUGGUCCCUACAUCUGGCGCUCUGACGUGGGGCUCUCCCUCGCUGUGUGAAGUUGCACCCUGAGUGCGGGAUCAGCGGAGGAGUUCAACGAGAGAUUCCUGAGGAUUGCAGUCUAUAAACUUGGUGGGGUUUUGUUUGUGUUUCCCCAGGAAAAGAACUACAGCCUGUGUGGGUCCCCUCCCGACAAUUAAAAUUGCACCAUAACUCCAAAGAUGAAACGCUCCCAGAAAGAAAAGGCAAAGACCCAUCGGAAACAAAAGAGCAACUUUCACCGCCUGAUACAUACACUUCAUGACAUCCACAUUGAGACAAAAUCUCGCCGUGUGACCUACAACACCUCUCGUUCAACCCCACCUACUUGGGGUCGAAUACAGAUUUUAUCUCAUCAAACAGAAAAAUUCUUAACAGAAAAAGGAAUCCCAAAAAUGACUGGUAAUAUAAUUCUGGCUGCCUUUAUGGUAGUCAGUGCAGCGGUAAGUAUACCACCGGUCGGGGCAACUCAAAAUUAUACUUAUUGGGCAUAUGUUCCUUUUCCCCUUCUAAUUCGGUCUGUCUCCUGGAGGGACUCUCCAGUAGAAGUUUACACUAAUAAUAGUGCAUUCAUGCCGAUCCCUAAUGAUGAUCGGUUUCCAGCUCAACCGGAAGAAGAAGGUAUGCACUUUAAUCUGUCAAUUGGCUAUAAAUAUCCACCAUUAUGUAUUGGGAAGUCGCCUGGUUGUUUAGCUUAUUCUUAACAGAAUUGGAUGUGGACUGUACCGUCCUUUACAAAUGAUUCUUAUCAAGUAUAUAAUGUGUUCAGUACUAACUCUUUUCAACUUCUCACUGUCAAACGUACCCCACAUGAGGCAUGGAGAGUUCCUCUCACUACCAAAACUAAUAAAACAAAAGGACUGCCGGACUGUCCAAAGAAACCUACAAAUGGGCCUUUUAUAGUGACUUCAAUUUUAUGGGAUAAUUGUAAUGCUCCCAAGGCUGUUGUACUCCAAACUCUAGCCAUGGGUAUUGUUAUUGAUUGGGCUCCAAAAGGACAUUAUUGGCAAGAUUGCUCCAGCAAAAAUACCUUAUGCUCGGAGUUUAUUUAUUCCUUAGAUUAUAUAGAGCAUGGGUGGCAGUCUUACACGAUGAGACAACGGGUGUCUCCUUACCCAUUUAAAUGGAUGGACACAGGUAUUGCUCCUCCUAGACCAAAAAUUAUUCAUCCCUUUUUUACCCCAGAACAUCCUGAACUAUGGAAAUUAGCUGCAGCUUUGUCGGGAAUAAAGAUAUGGAACACUACCUAUCAGCUCCUUCGUACUAAAACCAAAACACCCACAUUCAACAUCACCCUUAUUUCUGAAUGGGUGAUACCCAUUAGGAGCUGUGUCAAACCCCCUUACAUGCUGUUGGUUGGAAAUAUAAUUAUGAUGCCUGAUGCACAAACUAUAGAAUGUCAUAACUGUAAGCUGUUCACUUGCAUUGAUGCAACUUUUAAUCCCACUACAAGUAUUCUCUUGGUAAGGGCUAGGGAGGGGGUAUGGAUACCAGUUUCUCUACAUCGUCCAUGGGAGUCUUCCCCCUCUAUUCACAUAGUCAAUGAAGUUCUUAAAGACAUCCUCAAAAGAACAAAGAGAUUUAUUUUUACUCUUAUUGCAGUCCUUGCAGGACUACUUGCGGUUACUGCAACAGCAGCAACUGCUGGAGUUGCCAUCCGCAGUUCUGUUCAAACUGCUCACUAUGUUGAAGCAUGCCAGAAAAAUUCCUCCAGACUUUGGAAUUCUCAGGCGCAAAUUGAUCAAAAAUUAGCUAAUCAGAUUAAUGAUCUCCGCCAAAGUGUAACCUGGCUGGGAGAUAGAGUUAUGAACUUGCAACACCGUAUGCAAUUACAGUGUGAUUGGAAUACUUCUGAUUAUUGCAUAACGCCUUAUGCUUAUAAUCAAGAUCAACAUAGCUGGGAAAAUGUCUCAAGACAUUUAAAAGCCUGGGAUGAUAACUUAACCUUGGAUAUUUCACAACUUAAAGAGCAAAUCUUUGAGGCUUCACAAGCCCAUUUAUCCACAGUUCCUGGCUCACACAUUUUUGAAGGCAUAACUAAACAAUUACCUGAUUUUAAUCCCUUCAAAUGGCUCAAACCCGUCAGAGGAUCAUUGUUGUUACUGGCAUUAUUAAUAUUGGUAUGCUUAUGUUGUCUCCUUUUAGUCUGCAGAUGCCUCUAAGGAGUCCGAAACCAAGUCCGAAGUCAACAACAAGCAAUGAUGGCGAUGGCGAUUCUAGUUAAUAAAAAGGGGGGAGAUGUGGGCGGCAAGCCACCCAGGCACCGAGGCAAGAGACAGAGGACACGAGCUGUUCCAGUAUAAUAAAAUAUAAAACAAGAAUAGUUAUACCAGAUAUAGAUCUUAGAUAUGAUUAUAUACGAAUAUCAUUAAUCAUGAGUUUGUAGCAAUUACUUUUUAUUCCAAUAUUAUGAUAAUCCUCGCUCUAUAAUCAUAGCCUAGGAAAAACCAGGCCAUACAGAGAUAGGAGCUGAGGGGACAUAGUGAAGUGUGACCAGAAGACAAGAGUGCGAGCCUUCUGUUAUGCCCGGACAGGGCCACCAGAGGGCUCCUUGGUCUAGCGGUGACGCCAGCGUCUGGGAAGACACCCGUUACCAGGCGGAUCGUGGCCCAGCCGUAGCAAAAGGUGUCAAGGAACACCUUUUGCAAAAGGUGUCAACACCCGCUACUUAGCAGACUGGGAAAGGGGGGCGGUCUCCCUUUCCCCGGGGGAGUUUAGAGAAGACUCUGUUCCUCCACCUCUUGUGGAGGGCCUGACAUCAGUCAGGCUUGCCCGUAGUUAUCCGGAGGCCUAACUGUCUCCCUGUGAUGCUGUGCUUCAGUGGUCACGCUCCUAGUCUGCCUUCAUUUUCCAUCCUGUACACCUGGCUCUGCCUUCUAGAUAGCAGUAGUAAAUUAGUGAAAAUACUAAUAGUCCCUGAUAUGCAGAAAUAAUGGCAUAAGCUGUCUUUCUCUCUGUCUCCUCUCCCUCUCUGCCUCGGCUGCCAGGCAGGGAAGGGCCCCCUGUCCAGUGGACACAUGACCCAUGUGACCUUACCUAUCAUUGGAGGUGACUCACAUUCUUUACCCUGCCCCUUCUGCCUUGUAUCCAAUAACAGCGCAGUCAGACAUUCAGGGCCACUACCGGUCUCCGCACAUUGGUGGUAGUGGUCCCCCGGGCCCAGC
RNAcentral lists this long non-coding RNA (6510 nucleotides) under Homo sapiens (human). RNAcentral describes it as "endogenous retrovirus group K13 member 1". The record is from RNAcentral. Lineage: Eukaryota; Metazoa; Chordata; Mammalia; Primates; Hominidae.